Ursus thibetanus thibetanus is the source of this 1627-nucleotide long non-coding RNA. Lineage: Eukaryota; Metazoa; Chordata; Mammalia; Carnivora; Ursidae. The record is from Ensembl.
CCGUGACAAGUCACCAUGGGGUGGCAGUUAGGGACAACACAGAUUUUUCAUCACAGGUGCACAGAUUAGUCCUGUUACAGCUCUGAGGUCAGGAGCGCUAAGGUCAGCGGGCUGCAGAUCUCCCAGCCGCUCUUGCAGAGGCGGGGGCGGGGGGCGUCUGUCCCCUUGCCAUGCCCCACUGCAGAGGCACCUGCCCUCCUCGCCUCCAACUGCAGACAGCAGUGUCUUCAAGCCCCCCCCCACCCCUCCGCUUCCAGCACCACGUGGGUUUCUGCCUCGGACCUGGCCCCGUUUUCUAAGGUCUCUUGGGAUUACAGAGGCUGGCCCAACAGUCCGGGAUGGACUUCCAUCUCAAGAUCCACAGCUUAGACCUUCUGCAUGGUCCCCUUUGCCCCGUAAGGGAUGUAGUCACAGAGCUGGGAUUAGGAUGGGGAUGGCUUCGGGGACAAUCUCCAUCCCCCACACCCCAUACACGGGACUGCUUGUACCGGGGCCCAGUAUGAGGAUGUGAGACACCCCCCUCGGUGCAGACCUUCCCCAGCUUCUCUUUUUCUCCCUUUUGCCCGAGUGGAGGGGGAGGUGGUUUUGCAAAUGGGGGGAACGUGUCCUGCCCUGAUUCACAGGAGAGACCCACCACCACACGGGGACACCCGCCCGGAUGCUGCCCAUCCAGUGGUGCCCCUGACUCUCGAGCAGCUGGUCCAGACGUUUGCAGCUGGCACAGAACGGAGCAGAGGGCAGCGCCUCACAGGCUGUUCCCACACCUGGUCCCCUCACAAUGCGGUGCUAGGAAAACAACCCUGCGUGCCUCCCAACAGGUACCAACCAGAAAGCAAACGGCCCCCCGGGACUGGGAAGGGCAGCCCCUCCCACGAAGUCCGCACCUGCCUCUGAGCGCGGUACAGCUGCCCCUUUCUCUGCGGCAAGUACGCGGUCGGAAGGAAGCCUUCCCUUGUCCUCCCCCCAGACACCCUGGUGCCACCCCAACAUUACUAAUCGUGAGAUGAACAAAAACGUCACAAAUCAAGCGAGUGGCCCCUUCUUUGGGGUGGUCCCAAGGGUCUGGAUUCACCCUGUGGGGAGCAAGACUGCUGGGUCGUAUGCCCCUGGGUAGUGAAGGGGACCACCUUCCUCCUGGCCGGGCUGCUGAUGGGGGUUCGCAAGAACGAUGAGAUGGGCUUGAAUCUCAGAUUCCAAAGUCAAAAGAGCAAGAAACUCCAUUUUCCUUUUUUUUAAAGACUUUUAUUUAUUUAUUUGAAAGACACACAGAGAUAGUGACAGAACAAGCAGGGAGGAGAGGGCGAAGCAGGCUCCCCGCUGAGCAGGGAAACUCCAUUUUCUUUAAAUUCUAUAAUUCUGGUUCGGACUAGCCCCCCGUUCUGAUGCAACGGCAGGAAAGCCCAGUUCCAUCCCUUUUAGCUUCCAGAAUGGGCCUCUUUGUGAGGACAGGUUCUGAGAACAGAGCUGUGCUGGAGAAAGCCCGGGAAGGAAGUUUAUCACUGUUUGGUGCAAGUUUGCAAUUCUACCAGCGAGGAAGAAGCCAAGAAACAAAGAUCCCUGAGCACCUGUGCGUUCGUAAGCCUACACUGACCCCUGCUGACGGGCUCUGGGAAUGGCCUCCCGUGAC